Molecule: ribosomal RNA, 428 nt
Filed under: uncultured bacterium
Lineage: Bacteria
Description: bacterial SSU rRNA
Rfam family: Bacterial small subunit ribosomal RNA
Source: RNAcentral
AAUCUGACCUGAUGGUCGGCGCAAGGGUGCGUAACGCGUAAGUAACUUGCCCCAAGGUAAGGAAUAACGUCGAGAAAUCGGCGCUAAUACCUCAUAAUGCAGCGGAUCCGCAUGGAUAUGUUGUUAAAGGUUUACCGCCUUGGGAUAGGCUUGCGUCUGAUUAGCUAGUUGGUGUGGUAAUGGCACACCAAGGCUACGAUCAGUAACUGGUCUGAGAGGAUGAUCAGUCACACUGGAACUGAGACACGGUCCAGACUCCUACGGGAGGCAGCAGUGAGGAAUAUUGGGCAAUGCACGAAAGUGUGACCCAGCAACGCCGCGUGGAGGAUGAAGGUAUUCUAUAUCGUAAACUCCUGUGAGAGCAGACGAAAGACAGAUUAUUAAUUUGGAUGACUGUAUGCUCAGAGGAAGCCCCGGCUAACUACGUG